UGAUCUCUCUUCCUUCAGUUGUU
This 23-nucleotide unclassified non-coding RNA is filed under the name Mus musculus (house mouse). RNAcentral describes it as "oocyte_clustered_small_RNA4572". The record is from RNAcentral. Lineage: Eukaryota; Metazoa; Chordata; Mammalia; Rodentia; Muridae.